This 253-nucleotide ribosomal RNA is filed under the name uncultured bacterium. Its description in RNAcentral is "partial 16S ribosomal RNA". It matches the Rfam family "Bacterial small subunit ribosomal RNA", at positions 524 to 776 of the family's 1533-position model. The record is from RNAcentral.
UACGAAGGUCCCAAGCGUUAUCCGGAUUUAUUGGGUUUAAAGGGUGCGUAGGCGGGCUAUUAAGUCAGUGGUGAAAGCCCCAGGCCUAACCUGGGAAUUGCCAUUGAUACUGAUGGUCUUGAGUACAUUUGAAGUGGGCGGAAUGUGUCAUGUAGUGGUGGAAUACUUAGAUAUGACACAGAACACCGAUUGCGUAGGCAGCUCGCUAAACUGUAACUGACGCUGAGGCACGAAAGCGUGGGGAGCAAACAGG